AGGUCCCACCAUCGGUAGCGUGCUAAUGACAACCAGCCUCCGCGAAGUAAUACCUAACGGUGGCCCCGCGGAGGAGGAUGGUAGCAGAAGUGUGUGGGGGGAUAGUUUUUAGUACGUAAGCGCCAUGGAUGGCGCAACGUGCAUGCUGCUACUAAGAACUAGCAGUAGCUUCCGAAGAUUUUCUACCUCCUGCUC
This is a non-coding RNA of Glossina austeni, 195 nucleotides long. The record is from Rfam. NCBI's taxonomy places the organism in Eukaryota, Metazoa, Arthropoda, Insecta, Diptera, Glossinidae.